This 501-nucleotide long non-coding RNA is filed under the name Sus scrofa (pig). Its description in RNAcentral is "lncRNA (ENSSSCG00025051223.1)". The record is from RNAcentral. Lineage: Eukaryota; Metazoa; Chordata; Mammalia; Artiodactyla; Suidae.
AAAAAAAAGGGAUUGCAAAUGAAAACAGUUUAAGAAAUCUUUAUUUAACAUUUGAUUCUCCUUUCUCAUUUGUUCUAUUUUUUAUUCUUGCUCUGGAAGUUACUCUUGUAUCUUUAACAAACCACAUCUCCUCCUUGUCUCCUAUCCAGAAAGAAAUCCUCCUUCUUCCCUUAGAAGUUCUGAUGCUGGGGAAACCUGAGUGUUCUUUGGAAUUGUUUAAGCUCACCAGCCAAGUUGGAGCAUGCAGAAUGGAAGAAGCAAUAAAGUGACAUGAGCAAGGAGCAGUUUUCUUCUCAUCUUUCCAAACUCAAAUGUGGAUCUAAAUUUUAUAUGGAAAGCUAAACUUAUCCCUGAAGAUUAAAGUAAGUAAACUAUGAUCAAAUUUUUGAAAAUUUCUCUAAAUCGACUUAGGAUCUUACAUCAUUCACCAAAAAAAGAAAGAUAAAGAAAAUAACCCAUUAAAAUGUUGAGAUAUAUUCUUAGUAUUCCUUAGUAUCUAUA